Molecule: ribosomal RNA, 967 nt
Filed under: Porphyromonas gingivalis
Lineage: Bacteria; Pseudomonadati; Bacteroidota; Bacteroidia; Bacteroidales; Porphyromonadaceae
Description: bacterial SSU rRNA
Rfam family: Bacterial small subunit ribosomal RNA
Source: RNAcentral
GAUGAACGCUAGCGAUAGGCUUAACACAUGCAAGUCGAGGGGCAGCAUGAUUUAGCUUGCUAAGGUCGAUGGCGACCGGCGCACGGGUGCGUAACGCGUAUGCAACUUGCCUUCGGAGGGGGAUAACCCGUUGAAAGACGGACUAAAACCGCAUACACUUGUAUUAUUGCAUGAUAUUCAAGGAAAUAUUUAUAGCUGUAAGAUAGGCAUGCGUCCCUUAGCUGGUUGGUGAGGUAACGGCUCACCAAGGCGACGAUGGGUAGGGGAACUGAGAGGUUUAUCCCCCACCUGGUACUGAGACACGGACCAGACUCCUACGGGAGGCAGCAGUGAGGAAUAUUGGUCAAUGGGCGAUAGCCUGAACCAGCCAAGUCGCGUGAAGGAAGACAGUCCUAAGGAUUGUAAACCUCUUUUAUACGGGAAUAACGGGCGAUACGAGUAUUGCAUUGAAUGUACCGUAAGAAUAAGCAUCGGCUAACUCCGUGCCAGCAGCCGCGGUAAUACGGAGGAUGCGAGCGUUAUCCGGAUUUAUUGGGUUUAAAGGGUGCGUAGGUUGUUCGGUAAGUCAGCGGUGAAACCUGAGCGCUCAACGUUCAGCCUGCCGUUGAAACUGCCGGGCUUGAGUUCAGUGGCGGCAGGCGGAAUUCGUGGUGUAGCGGUGAAAUGCAUAGAUAUCACGAGGAACUCCGAUUGCGAAGGCAGCUUGCCAUACUGCGACUGACACUGAAGCACGAAGGCGUGGGUAUCAAACAGGAUUAGAUACCCUGGUAGUCCACGCAGUAAACGAUGAUUACUAGGAGUUUGCGAUAUACCGUCAAGCUUCCACAGCGAAAGCGUUAAGUAAUCCACCUGGGGAGUACGCCGGCAACGGUGAAACUCAAAGGAAUUGACGGGGGCCCGCACAGGCGGAGGAACAUGUGGUUUAAUUCGAUGAUACGCGAGGAACCUUACCCGGGAUUGAAAUGUA